Macaca fascicularis (crab-eating macaque) is the source of this 167-nucleotide small nuclear RNA. Its record names the gene U4. It matches the Rfam family "U4 spliceosomal RNA". Rfam says of the family: U4 small nuclear RNA (U4 snRNA) is a component of the major U2-dependent spliceosome. The structure of U4 snRNA from yeast and human has been reported. U4 snRNA presents a k-turn RNA motif in the 5p-SL related to recognition of Snu13 protein. NCBI's taxonomy places the organism in Eukaryota, Metazoa, Chordata, Mammalia, Primates, Cercopithecidae. The record is from Ensembl.
AGCUUUGUGCAGUGGCAGUAUCGUAGCCAAUGAGGUUUAUCUGAGGCGCGAUUAUUGCUAAUUGAGAAUUGAGGAGUCAUAUAAAAACACUGAGGACUGGGUAUCUGGAGUAGUAAAAAGAAGCAGGAGGGAUGAAUGUUGAAAAUCUUUGCCUAUGUAUAAUUUUG